UGGUUUCACAUAUUUCGUCAAUAAUUAGCCCGCUAGAUACUGUGUAUUUUGUCAUUUUGUUUCUGCCAAUUAAAACGUAUUUAGGGGACUACAGCACAAUGAGGUAAUAAUAGUCAUGUCAUAUUCAACUAUUCCGAAGUGUCUAUAAUUAUAUCAAUAUCCGCUGACUCGCUACCAUCCACAAAUACACUCGAACCAACUGUCAAUCAUGGGUCUCUUCUGAAGAUAAUUUGUAACUUGUUGAAUCAGUACCAUAUCCUGUUGGAUAUCCCAAGAAAAUCAGCCGAAAUGGAACACACGUGUAGGACGAUGCAAUGAAGGAUGUCAGGAAUGGGCUACGAGCAUUAUGGAGAACAGUAUGGAAACUUGAACGCUUUCUGAAGUGAUUAUACGAAGAGGUUGUGUCUGGUCGUUAAUUAAUAAGCAAUCAAUUCUAAUCGACAUACCACGAGGAUGCUCUCAAGUAUUGAUAUCUCUGGAAACGCCCUUUUAUUCAAUCUAGACGUUAAUUUUGUAAGGACUAGCCCGCUAAAACUACGCCCAAAACAUUAACAAAUGUCUGUGUAUGUCACANGGGUGAUGUAUGCAGACUAUAGUCUGAGGGAUGAAAGUCAAUAGUCAGAUUCUUGGAUAUGGUCUUGAAAUAACAAGCUAUUGAUAACGGAAGUAUCGUUCUUCAGAGCGGAGAAACAUGUUGAAUUUUGACCUGCUCUAUCAAUUGUAAUAAUAAAAUACAGCCAAAGAGUAAUGAGAUUGUAUCGCGAAUCCGAUCUAUACAACCUGCAAGUAUUAUGGAAAACUAUGAUAUGUCCAAAUAUGGUAAAAUNAAAAUUAAAAUAAAUAUUACGCCUUUUAUGUUAUAAUUGAGGGAAAAUGUUAAUUGUAUCAAAACACAUUGGGAAUGAAAUCUCCAGUUGCCUUAUCGUAAAUCCAUGCGACGAUGAUGGCCGUCUGGAACCAUUGUAAGAUUGACAUUGAUUUGAUCUCACGAGUAGGGGUUCGAGUCCCAGUACUUUAAAUUAUUAGAGUGUGACUGAGUUUUGAUCAUUCCAUACAUAGUGCUUUGAAAAUUUUGCNGUUUAUCGUCAAAUGCUGGGCAUUGUUGUAUUCUGAUACUUCAUGUUGCAGACGAUUCCAAUUNCUGAUGUUAUAUCGGCGAUUCGUAUUGUGUUAUCUUAGUUUUAAUCCUGUUUGAUGCGGGACCGUUUGAUUGAUCUGUAGCGUGAGCUCUUUCCUUCUCGUGACAUUAUGCACAUAACGCUAGAACGCUCACUGCAAUUUAUAGAGAAGAAAUCUUGACGUGAAAAAAACCCGCUCAGAUCAACCUGCCUGGACUGGAAGAAAUCAAUUUCUCACAACAAUACACGAGGAGCAAUAUAUUGUGAUGUCCAGUAUCUAAUCUUUUCCCGCAGACAUUUCGACGAUUUCGAAGUUUGAUACAAGUCGGUGUACACGUCAAAUACGAUUUUUCUUUUGUCAGAUAAGUGCGAGUGGUUUCAAUUUCGUCUCGAUGCCAUCUCGUACAACUUUGUUUUGCCGACNUAUUCGCUGUGCUAGUGGUUGUACUUGACCUCGAGUGUCUUGUCAUUUUGAUUCUGAUGUGUUUUAUAUGUUUUUUGUAUUAUUUUAGUAAAUGCAUCAGCGCUGAAUGUAAUUGUCGAUAAAUGUGAUAAUACCUUCUACAAACACGGCAUGGAUUUAGGCGAUAAUAUAUAGUUACCAUGUCAAAUCAUGACAAGUCUAUCGAUGACUAAUGAACUGGCAAAACAUGAUAUCGUCAAGUAAUACACGCAGCUUCUGUCAAAUUUCACACACUUAUUCUGUGGGAGCAUUACUGAUCCCCUCCCAGUAAGGUAUUGGAACGCACUUGCACAAGAAUGCGCGAUCUGUGGAAUGCAUAAUUAGAUAGUUACCCUCGUUCUGUGCGAACUGAACACCCCUCGGUCGCACUCACUGCUAUUCUGCUCAGUUCGCAAAGAUAGUAAAAAGAGCUGUGGAGACUUGGUGUAAAUGAAAUGAAAUUUAACCUUUUCUUAUCUGUACGUCGAAGNAAAUGUGUGCAAACUUAUUUACCCUAGUCAAGAGUUAAUGGUCAUAAUCCUGUAAAAAUAAACACGAUGGCUGAUGUACUUCCAUGCUGUACAGUGGUCUAUAGGUGACAA
This 2162-nucleotide long non-coding RNA is filed under the name Exaiptasia diaphana. Its description in RNAcentral is "uncharacterized LOC110233428, transcript variant X2". Lineage: Eukaryota; Metazoa; Cnidaria; Anthozoa; Actiniaria; Aiptasiidae. The record is from RNAcentral.